Molecule: ribosomal RNA, 549 nt
Filed under: uncultured bacterium
Lineage: Bacteria
Description: bacterial SSU rRNA
Rfam family: Bacterial small subunit ribosomal RNA
Source: RNAcentral
AGGGAAUCUUCGGCAAUGGACGGAAGUCUGACCGAGCAACGUCGCGUGGGUGAAGAAGGUUUUCGGAUCGUAAAGCUCUGUUGUAAGAGAAGAACGAGUGUGAGAGUGGAAAGUUCACACUGUGACGGUAUCUUACCAGAAAGGGACGGCUAACUACGUGCCAGCAGCCGCGGUAAUACGUAGGUCCCGAGCGUUGUCCGGAUUUAUUGGGCGUAAAGCGAGCGCAGGCGGUUAGAUAAGUCUGAAGUUAAAGGCUGUGGCUUAACCAUAGUACGCUUUGGAAACUGUUUAACUUGAGUGCAAGAGGGGAGAGUGGAAUUCCAUGUGUAGCGGUGAAAUGCGUAGAUAUAUGGAGGAACACCGGUGGCGAAAGCGGCUCUCUGGCUUGUAACUGACGCUGAGGCUCGAAAGCGUGGGGAGCAAACAGGAUUAGAUACCCUGGUAGUCCACGCCGUAAACGAUGAGUGCUAGGUGUUAGACCCUUUCCGGGGUUUAGUGCCGCAGCUAACGCAUUAAGCACUCCGCCUGGGGAGUACGACCGCAAGGUUG